Xenia sp. Carnegie-2017 is the source of this 2279-nucleotide long non-coding RNA. RefSeq lists it as uncharacterized. The record is from RefSeq and is a predicted model, not a curated record. NCBI's taxonomy places the organism in Eukaryota, Metazoa, Cnidaria, Anthozoa, Malacalcyonacea, Xeniidae. The transcript has 16 exons.
AAAACAAUGUCAAAUGCUUGAAAUAAAGAAUAAUUAGAGGUAGUUGAGUGUGGUUUUUCAUCCCAUAUGAUUUUUUCUUUGAAAAUAUGAAAAUUCAAUCUCUGCCAAGAAUAUUUGAGCUGGCAAUAGAAAUUAACAAGGAAAUUGGUUGCUUAAUAGUAGAUCUCAAAUAAGUCCGUCGACCUCUUCCAAAAGAGCUUGCUCUGAAAGAGGAAGCCGUGACAAUGACAAUAGCGAAAGUUGGUUGCGAGGAAAAUGAAAUUAAAAAAACAUACAGGUUUCCUGUUCAAUCUUAAGAAAAUCAGUCUAUGCUAAUGCUAGUUUCGAAAGAAUGUUGCGUACCUAUACAAGUUACGUUAACGGUAACUCGUAAUAUGUUUCUUAAACAUGUAACAUUUACAGUAACUAUUUAUAGGUAUUCAUAUUAUUUCUAAUAUACGGUCAACAGUAACUCAUUUUUUGAGUUGAAUAAUUCGACAGUUAAAUUAAAGCUCUGUUAAGGCGUAUUGUCUGGGCGAAAGAGAGGUGCAUAUAUUAUCAUACAGACCGUUGCUUUUAUCAAGAUAACCAUAUAAUAAUGAAACUUCUCUUUUUUAGCAAACGAUCGACUUGCAAAGUUGUGCAGAAAUGACGGAGAUGAUAAAACGCAAGAUUGAAAACACGGAAGCAUUUCCUCAUUUUCAAUCAAUUCUUCAACAUUUUCUUCAUUUUCCAAGUAUUUUUUCUAUUUCAUGUGGAUCUUUUCGUAGUGGUGUAGCAUGACAAUAGAGAAGCGAGAUAAAUUUGGGUUCUAGCGGAUAAAGUAAUCCAACAAAUGACAAUUCAAAGCGAAGAUGGCGAAGAUUUGGAAGAAUUGCGACAGAGGCUUGCUAAGCUUGACAUAAUUGACUAGACAACACAAGAAAAGGACGAAGUAAACGAAUAGAUGGAAAAACAGAAAAAUUGAAUUAGAGCGUAAGACUGCAGAGAAGAAUGAGCUUGAAGCUCACAAAAAAGUCUAGGAAAAACUUAAAGAGAUCGUCGAAAAAUCUCUUUGGAAGAUUCCUGAGGAUUGCAACGUUGAGCAUUUUGUCAAGAUUAGUACUGGUGCCCCACCGGAAAUUGCUAAUCUUGAAGCACAUGUUGGUCCGCCUCCCCUUCUACGUUAGCUGGAUUACUUACUCCUGGAGCACCAACACCUCUAACUUUAGGGGAUGCAAUACAAGUCGUAAAACUAGAGAAGAAAUCUACGCUAAUUAGAAUGACGGAGGUUAUCAAACGUUAAAUUGGACAAACGGAAGCAUUUCCUCCUUUUUUAUCCAUUCUUCGACAUUUUCUUCUUUUUCCAAACGACAAUAGAGAAGCGAGAUAAAUUUGGGUUCUUGCGGAUAAAGUAAUCCAACAAAUGACAAUUCAAAGCGAAGAUGGCGAAGAUUUGGAAGAAUUGCGACAUAGGCUUGCUAAGCUUGACAUAAUAAUUGACGAGACAACACAAGAAAAGGACGAAGUAAAUGAAGAGAUGGAAAAACAAAAAUUGAAUUAGAGCUUAAGACUGCAGAGAAGAAUGAGCUUGUAGCUCACAAAAAAUCUAGGAAAAACUUAAAGAGAUCGUCGAAAAAUCUCGUGGGAAGAUUCCUGAGGAUUGCAACGUUGAGUAUUUUGUCAAGAAUAGUACUGGUGCCCCACCGGAAAUUGCUAAUAUUGAAGCACAUGUUGGUCCGCCUCCCCUUCUACGUUAGCUGGAUUACUUACUCCUGGAGCACCAACACCUCUAACUUUAGGGGAUGCAAUACAAGGUCCACUACCUUGAAGUCGUAAAACUAGAGAAGAAAUCUACGCUAAUUAGAAUGACGGAGAUUAUCAAACGUUAAAUUGGACAAACGGAAGCAUUUCCUCCUUUUUUAUCGAUUCUUCGACAUUUUCUUCUUUUUCCAAACGACAAUAGAGAAGCGAGAUAAAUUUGGGUUCUAGCGGAUAAAGUAAUCCAACAAAUGACAAUUCAAAGCGAAGAUGGCGAAGAUUUGGAAGAAUUGCGACAUAGGCUUGCUAAGCUUGACAUAAUAAUUGACGAGACUACACAAGAAAAGGACGAAGUAAAUGAAUAGAUGGAAAAACAGAAAAAUUGAAUUAGAGCGUAAGACUGCAGAGAAGAAUGAGACGACAAUAGAGAAGCGAGAUAAAUUUGGGUUCUAGCGGAUAAAGUAAUCCAACAAAUGACAAUUCAAAGCGAAGAUGGCGAAGAUUUGGAAGAAUUGCGACAGAGGCUUGCUAAGCUUGACAUAAUUGACUAGACAACACAA